Molecule: ribosomal RNA, 492 nt
Filed under: uncultured bacterium
Lineage: Bacteria
Description: partial 16S ribosomal RNA
Rfam family: Bacterial small subunit ribosomal RNA
Source: RNAcentral
AGUGAACGCUGGCGGUAGGCCUAACACAUGCAAGUCGAACGGCAGCACAGUAAGAGCUUGCUCUUACGGGUGGCGAGUGGAGGGCGGGAGAGGAAUAAAUAGGAAUCUACUUUUUCGAGAGGGAGAACGUAGGGAGAUUUACGCUACAACCGCAUACGGACUACGGGUGAAAGAAGGGGAUCUUCGGAGCUUGCGCGUUUGCCUGUGGCGAUGUCGGAUUAGGUAGUUGGAGGGGUAAAGGCACACCAAGGCGACGAUCCGUAGCUGGUCUGAGAGGAUGAUCAGCCACACUGGAACUGAGACACGGUCCAGACUCCUACGGGAGGCAGCAGUGGGGAAUAUUGGACAAUGGGCGCAAGCCUGAUCCAGCCAUACCGCGUGGGUGAAGAAGGCCUUCGGGUUGUAAAGCCCUUUUGUUGGGAAAGAAAAGCAGCAGGUUAAUACCCCGCUGUUCUGACGGUACCCAAAGAAUAAGCACCGGCUAACUUCGUG